AGUCAGACGGAUGGAGAGAAAUGCAGCCUUGAUGAACUGUUUUAAACACGUGUGAUCAGAAACUCUAGAAAAAAAGAAUUUCAGCAUAUAUUUUGGCUACUUUCCAAAAUGUGAGUUUAUUUGGAAUUAUUUCUAGAACUAGGUGGGUGGGCACCAAAAUCUUUUUCUUGUUUAAAGCCCUGGAAGGAGCGAGGGUUUGACAGGAGCCCCAAACAUGCCUCCAAGAGAAGAGGCCAGGGGGAGUGUAGCGAUGAAGGCCCCGUGGCUUGAGACAAAUGAGAAGAGAGGGAGAGAGCUGAGACGCGGGCUGUUCGCUUGGUGGUUCCUCAGUCGCCAGGGCAGGCUGACUGUGAAGGAGCUGCUGCAGCUCGCGGGAGCCCAGGAACAGUGACCCCGCUCUCGGAUCCCAGGUGCAGGAGGCUGGCUGAGAUUUCAACGAUAGUAGUCAGGUCUGCACUUGGGGAAAGGUCACGGCUCAUAAUAGCUUGGAUUGUUCAACCUAGACAUGUGCGGAUUAGGAAACAAGACGCAGAGAGACUCCGACCCGCUCAAGGUGAAAGUCCCAGUUGGUGGCUGAGCCAGCCAAGGAUGCCUGCGUCCUGACAUCCAGCCCUGAGCUCUUCUGAAGAUGAGGGGACUCUUAAGAAUACACAAUACUUCCAGGCUUUUUGUUCCGACAGAAGUAAGUUUGCAAAGCAGUUGUGGAGGACUCUCGGAAGAAGGGCAAACAGUCCCCGAGGGGGUGGAGCUGCUGGUUCCAGGAGCUCUGUUGCCAGCAAUUAUUAAUUCACUCCGGCUGGCGCUGUCUUGGGGGCCUCCCGCGCACAAUAGCAUUAGGAGCGUUGGCAGCUGCGGAGGGAGAAGGCCCGCUCCACCUGGGAAUGAGGAAGAUGUGACUCCUCGCAAGGUUGCUCUCCUCCCAGCUCCCGCUCUUGGGAGAGAUGAUCAGUGCUUGCGGGCCUGGGAGCAGGCUGCUGAGGACACAGUGUUCCCGGGGAUGGUGGCAGAUCUUGGAGAAGGGACAGAAGCUGGGCCAAGAGACUGGAACUUAUGCAAAUCAGGCCUGAGGAUGGUUCAAGGAGGGGGCAGCCCCUGCCUUAUGCCUCCCCCUCAGCAUACCCAGAACCAGACUCCUCGGGAGGAACAUCUUUUGUCUUCAAUGCUAAGCUUGUUCACGAGGAUGUGUGAGCAAAAUAUUGCUUAGGAAUGUGCACUCUGGAGCAGACUGUGUGGGUUCAAAUCCUGGCAUCAUCAUUAACCAGCUGUGUGACUCUGGGCAAGAAAAAUUGUGGAAGCUCUCUGACUUUUUUUUCAUCUGUAGGAUGGGAAUAAUAACACGUACCUCGUUAAUUAAAUGAGCAAUUACACACAAAAAACUUAGAAUUUGCAGAGAAUGUGGGAAGGCCUCCAUCAAUUAUCAUUUUUCUCCAUGGAGCUCCAUUGAGAGACAUAAUAUACUGUAAAGAGCUUGGCUUUGGAGAAAGACAGAGCUGGGUUCCAAGUCCUGCCUCUGCCGUUGCCCUGCUGCAUAACUUUGGGCAAGAUGCUUAGCUUCUCAAUGCCCAAUUUUCUCAUCAACAAAAUGGAGCCACUGAUAUUUACAGCAUUAUCCCAAGGCAUAGAAAUGAUGCAUCCGAAGCCCCUGACCCAUGGCGCUGGGAAAAUAGGUUUGGAAUUUGAUGAACUGCCUGCUGCUGGCUCCUCUGUUUUCUGGCAUCAAGGUUCCUCAAUAGUGGACUCAACAGUUGCAUUUUUCACCUACAAAAGAAUUGCUAUCAGAAAACCAGACAGCGGAUAAUUGUAUUUUGUGAAUUGACAGUGAAGCCACUCGGUUUCAGCCCAGGUCCAAAGGCUGAGGAUGUUCACCCAGGAGAAAUGGCAGAAGGUUCAGAAUCCCUAACAGCUCUGGCGACCCCUGCUGUGUCAGUGUGAAUGCAAGAUGCCAAGUAAGACUGGAGGCUCCAGCUUCAACCAGAGCCUCAUCCAUCUCUUCAAACCUACCAGGGAAGGAAAUAAAAAUAUGUGCCCAUAAAUUUCCUCCUUGACGGGCAGCAAAUGCGCUGGCCUCCUGCCACCUGACAGUGAAACGUGAAGCUGGGGAGUGUCUCCCUGCAAGCGCACCUAGGGCUGCUCCCGCCCCCUUCUGGAGCAGGAUCAAAAUGCUUCCCCAGAAGUGCGCCAGCUGCCCUUGUGGGCCAGGCCCAGCCAUCCAAAGCUGCCGAAGAGCAACUUGGCUUCCUUUCCCUUCUCCCACUUGGACCACCAGGAUGCCUCUGCAGUUUUUUGGACUCCUGUUUUGACCAAUUAUCCCAAUUAACUUGAGCAAGAUAGAAGGAGAGACCUAUACCCCCCUCUUUGUCCGAGAAAAAAUGCACCAAGGGAGAGAGAAUGAAGACAAGACUAUGAAUCUGUUCCCUGCACACAUCGAACUCAUUCCUAUCUCUGCGCAUGCUGUUCAACCCACUGGGAACACGCUUUCUUCUCCCAUCAGCACCCAUUUACCUAAAUUUUAUUCAUUCUUCAAGACUCAUUAAAUCCCGUCUGCUUCAUGAAGAUUUUUUAUCUGUGAGUUCACUCCCUCCACUGUCUCUUACUGUACCUGCAAUCUGUCCCAGAGUUUAAUGUGACUAUAGACAUGCUUGUGUUUCUUCUCUCCUCCCUGCUUCCCUCCUGUGCCCUGCACAGUGCUGGUCCAUUAUAAGCUUCAAGAAAUGUUUGUUGAUUGACACAUUAAAGAGAUGAACUGAACCUCGCUCUCUUUUC
This is a long non-coding RNA of Equus caballus (horse), 2763 nucleotides long. The record is from Ensembl. Lineage: Eukaryota; Metazoa; Chordata; Mammalia; Perissodactyla; Equidae.